Long non-coding RNA from Zalophus californianus (California sea lion), 607 nucleotides. RefSeq lists it as uncharacterized. The transcript has 3 exons. Lineage: Eukaryota; Metazoa; Chordata; Mammalia; Carnivora; Otariidae. The record is from RefSeq and is a predicted model, not a curated record.
UUUGUUUUCUUCAAGACAUCCCUUUCUCAGUGGGUGGCAAACCCAAAACAUCCCAGGCAAACUCUGAUGCCGUGUUCUUGAAGACUUUUCAUUUAGACUAUGGAUUGUGGUAAUAAUAAAUGUCAAUCUAAUAUUAAAAUAGCCAAACUCCACUUUUGGUCACCUGGGCAGCCAGAGCCAAUUUUGAUUCAGAAUCCCAGUCACCACCAUCACCAUUACCACGUGAAACUCCACUUGGCUGGGAUAGCAUCAUUGCCCCAUUCCGCCACCAGGGGGCAGCAUCGUCGCCGCGGUCCUCGGUCGGCUAAAGGCUAACAGCAGGCUUAGUUCGCACCGUAAUUAUGCGGCGUAAGGAAUCGAUCGGGUGCAGGUUAUUCUGUGAAGGAAGUGCCGGAGGUGAUGUGAACUUUAAGGCAAACAUUACGUCCAGUCUUCUACGUUGGGUGCUCGGACUCAGGAUUAAGAACUCUGCAAGAGGGGUACGAGGGUGACUCAGUUGUUAAGCGUCUGCCUUCAGCUCAGAUCAUGAUCCCAGGGUCCUGAGAUCGAGCCCCGCAUCGGGCUAAUCUGCAUCGGGCUCCCUGCUCAGCAGGGAGCCUGCUUCUCC